UACGUAGGGUGCAAGCGUUGUCCGGAAUUAUUGGGCGUAAAGGGCUCGUAGGCGGUCUGUCACGUCGGGAGUGAAAACUCAGGGCUUAACCCUGAGCCUGCUUCCGAUACGGGCAGACUAGAGGUAUGCAGGGGAGAACGGAAUUCCUGGUGUAGCGGUGAAAUGCGCAGAUAUCAGGAGGAACACCGGUGGCGAAGGCGGGUCUCUGGGCCGUAACUGACGCUGAGGAGCGAAAGCGUGGGGAGCGAACAGG
RNAcentral lists this ribosomal RNA (253 nucleotides) under uncultured bacterium. RNAcentral's name for it is "partial 16S ribosomal RNA". It matches the Rfam family "Bacterial small subunit ribosomal RNA", at positions 524 to 776 of the family's 1533-position model. The record is from RNAcentral.